RNAcentral lists this ribosomal RNA (1328 nucleotides) under Pomphorhynchus laevis. RNAcentral describes it as "SSU rRNA". It matches the Rfam family "Eukaryotic small subunit ribosomal RNA", at positions 443 to 1804 of the family's 1831-position model. Lineage: Eukaryota; Metazoa; Acanthocephala; Palaeacanthocephala; Echinorhynchida; Pomphorhynchidae. The record is from RNAcentral.
ACCCAAUCCCCGAUCGGGGAGGUAGUGACGAGAAGUAGCGAUGCCGCAAUCUUUUGAUUCGGCAAUUGAAAUGAGAACAAUGAAAGAAUUUUAUCGAGAAUCUAUUGGAGGGCAAGUUCUGGUGCCAGCAGCCGCGGUAAUUCCAGCUCGAAAAGCGUAUGUUAAAGUUGCUGCGGUUAAAACGCUCGUCGUUGGACAUCAGGAAAUGGUCCGUGGACGGCCUAGAGUCGCUACCACGGAUUCACUCCUUUUUAUGCCAGUUCAUCGUUGAUGCACUUUAGUGUGUGUCGCGGUAGAAGGUCAAUGUCACUUUGAGAAAAUUAGUGUGCUCAACGCAGGCUUUAUGCUUGUAUAAUGCUGCAUGGGAUGACGGAAUAGGGCCUCGGUUCCGUUUCGUUGGUUUACGAAAGCAGAGGUCAUGAUUAAUCGGGACAGACGGGGGCAUUCGUAUUGCGGUGCUAGAAGUGAAAUUCUGUGACCAUCGCAAGACGGACAACUGCGAAAGCAUUUGCCAAGAAUGUUUUCAUUAAUCAAGAACGAAAGUUAGAGGAUCGAAGACGAUUAGAUACCGUCCUAGUUCUAACUGUAAACUAUGCCGACUGGGGAUUCGCCAGUGCAAUUUAGCUUGGCGAGCACCCUCCCGGGAAACCAAAGUGAUUGGGUUCCGGGGGGAGUAUGGUUGCAAAAUCGAAACUUAAAGGAAUUGACGGAGGGGCACACCAGAAGUGGAGCCUGCGGCUUAAUUUGACUCAACGCGCGAAAGCUUACCCGGUCCGAACACCGUGAGGAUUGACAGGUUGAAAGCUCUUUCUUGAUCCGGUGGGUAGCGGUGCAUGGCCGUUCGUAGUUGGUGAAGUGAUUUGUCUGGUUUAUUCCGAUAACGAACGAGACUCUAGCCUACUAAUUAGCGUAGCGAUUGUUCGUCGUUACAAUGCUUCUUAGAGGGACAGGUGUUGCUUAAGCACACGAAGUAGAGCAAUAACAGGUCUGUGAUGCCCUCAGAUGUUCGAGGCUGCACGCGCGCUACAAUGGAGGGCACAAAGCGCACUACGCAUGUCGGAAGAUAUGCGGAAUCGUAAAUAGCCUUCGUGACUGGGAUCGGAGAUUGAAAUUAUUCUUCGUGAACGAGGAAUUCCUAGUAAGCGCGAGUCAUUAUCUCGCGUUGAUUAAGUCCCUGCCCUUUGUACACACCGCCCGUCGCUACUACCGAUUGAAUGAUUUGGUGAGGUCUGUGGAUAGGUGUCACCGGGCUAACCACCCUGUUGAUCUACCUAGAAGCUGCCCAAGCUUGAGCGUUUAGAGGAAGUAAAAGUCGUAACAAGGUUUCC